GCCGCUAUAGCUCAGUUGGUAGAGCAGUUGAUUUGUAAUCAUCAGGUCCGGGGUUCGAUUCCUCGUGGCGGCACCA
Molecule: transfer RNA, 76 nt
Filed under: bacterium
Lineage: Bacteria
Description: tRNA-Thr
Rfam family: tRNA
About the family: Transfer RNA (tRNA) molecules are approximately 80 nucleotides in length. Their secondary structure includes four short double-helical elements and three loops (D, anti-codon, and T loops).
Source: RNAcentral